CGGCUUCGGGACACUCAUACCCUUCGUUAUCAUCGUCAUUAGCAAUUUGUGGAUCAUCAUCACGGUUCACAAAGCGAACAAGGAGAGAACAACGAUGGAGGUCGCCGGAUCCAAGGGUCAGAAGAGGCGUGACAAGGACACCAAGUAUCUAACUCGGAUGUUGAUCCUUGUCUGCAUCGCUUACGUCAUGUGUUCAAUCCCUUACAGGAUGUAUGACUCUGUGAUGAACAUCCCAGCCCUCAAAGACAUAUACAACUUAGAAGACCCUUAUUGGAUCCUCCGCU
Lineus longissimus is the source of this 284-nucleotide long non-coding RNA. RefSeq lists it as uncharacterized. NCBI's taxonomy places the organism in Eukaryota, Metazoa, Nemertea, Pilidiophora, Heteronemertea, Lineidae. The record is from RefSeq and is a predicted model, not a curated record. The transcript is spliced from 3 exons.